This 338-nucleotide ribosomal RNA is filed under the name uncultured Ehrlichia sp. RNAcentral describes it as "bacterial SSU rRNA". It matches the Rfam family "Bacterial small subunit ribosomal RNA", at positions 94 to 449 of the family's 1533-position model. The record is from RNAcentral. Lineage: Bacteria; Pseudomonadati; Pseudomonadota; Alphaproteobacteria; Rickettsiales; Anaplasmataceae.
AGUGGCAGACGGGUGAGUAAUGCGUAGGAAUCUACCUAGUAGUAUGGAAUAGCCAUUAGAAAUGAUGGGUAAUACUGUAUAAUCCCUGCGGGGGAAAGAUUUAUCGCUAUUAGAUGAGCCUACGUUAGAUUAGCUAGUUGGUAAGGUAAUGGCUUACCAAGGCUAUGAUCUAUAGCUGGUCUGAGAGGACGAUCAGCCACACUGGAACUGAGAUACGGUCCAGACUCCUACGGGAGGCAGCAGUGGGGAAUAUUGGACAAUGGGCGAAAGCCUGAUCCAGCUAUGCCGCGUGAGUGAAGAAGGCCUUCGGGUUGUAAAACUCUUUCAAUAGGGAAGAU